CCGACCUACGGGGGGCAGCAGUUAGGAAUAUUCGUCAAUGGGGGAAACCCUGAACGAGCAAUGCCGCGUGAACGAUGACGGUCCUCUGGAUUGUAAAGUUCUGUUGUUUGGGAAGAACGGCUCUAAUAGGAAAUGAUUAGAGAUUGACUGUACCAUUCAAGAAAGCCACGGCUAACUACGUGCCAGCAGCCGCGGUAAUACGUAGGUGGCAAGCGUUGUCCGGAUUUAUUGGGCGUAAAGCGAGUGCAGGCGGUUCAAUAAGUCUGAUGUGAAAGCCUUCGGCUCAACCGGAGAAUUGCAUCAGA
This 305-nucleotide ribosomal RNA is filed under the name uncultured bacterium. RNAcentral's name for it is "bacterial SSU rRNA". It matches the Rfam family "Bacterial small subunit ribosomal RNA", at positions 332 to 630 of the family's 1533-position model. The record is from RNAcentral.